Molecule: ribosomal RNA, 394 nt
Filed under: uncultured bacterium
Lineage: Bacteria
Description: partial 16S ribosomal RNA
Rfam family: Bacterial small subunit ribosomal RNA
Source: RNAcentral
AUACGGAGGAUGCAAGCGUUAUCCGGAUUUAUUGGGUUUAAAGGGUGCGUAGGCGGAUGAUUAAGCGUGAGGUGAAAUGCCACUGCUCAACAGUGGAACUGCCUCGCGUACUGGUUGUCUUGAAUGCUCCUGCCGUGGGAGGAAUGUGUGGUGUAGCGGUGAAAUGCAUAGAGAUCACACAGAACACCGAUUGCGAAGGCAUCUCACGAAGGGGUGAUUGACGCUGAGGCACGAAAGCGUGGGGAUCAAACAGGAUUAGAUCCCCUGGUAGUCCACGCAGUAAACGAUGAUAACUAACCGCUGGGUCGUAGUGAUUCAGUGGCCAAGCGAAAGCGAUAAGUUAUCCACCUGGGGAGUACGACCGCAAGGUUGAAACUCAAAUGAAUUGACGGGG